CCUUAAACCCUAGAGCUCCGCAAUUUUCCCUUGUGUUUCAGCUAAACACCAUUCAGCCGCCUUGGAUAACCUCCUCUGCUGCGACUGCUGAGCGCCCCACCUCUGCUCUUCCGCUGCCGACGAUCGUCCUUCCCUCCUCCGGUAUUGGUUCGAGGGUAAAAUAUAAAUCAUAAAUAUGGUGCAAUACAAUUUCAAGAAGAUUACUAUAGUUCCCAAUGGGAAGGAGUUCAUCGAUAUCAUCUUAUCUCGCACACAACGUCAAACACCUACCGUAGUUCACAAGGGCUAUGCCAUUUCCCGCCUCCGUCAGUUCUACAUGCGGAAAGUGAAGUAUACCCAACAAAAUUUUCAUGAAAAGCUUUCUACCAUCAUUGAGGAGUUCCCCCGGCUAGAUGAUAUCCAUCCAUUCUACGGAGACCUGCUUCAUGUCCUCUACAACAAAGACCACUACAAGCUUGCUCUUGGUCAAAUCAAUACUGCUAGGAACCUUAUUGGUAAAAUUGCUAAGGACUAUGUGAAAUUGUUGAAGUAUGGUGACUCACUUUAUCGCUGCAAGUGUUUGAAGGUUGCUGCUCUUGGCCGUAUGUGUACUCUAAUAAAGCGUAUUGGUCCUAGUUUGGCUUAUCUAGAACAGAUCAGACAGCACAUGGCUCGGCUACCUUCAAUUGACCCAAAUACACGAACAAUUUUAAUAUGUGGGUACCCCAAUGUCGGAAAGAGCUCAUUCAUUAACAAGAUCACAAGGGCUGAUGUGGAUGUUCAGCCCUAUGCUUUUACGACUAAAUCACUCUUUGUUGGUCAUACUGACUACAAGUACCUAAGGUACCAAGUGAUUGAUACACCAGGGAUUUUGGACCGGCCAUUUGAAGAUCGUAACAUUAUCGAGAUGUGCAGUAUUACGGCUCUGGCACACCUACGAGCUGCAGUGUUAUUCUUCAUGGACAUCUCAGGAUCAUGUGGAUAUAGCAUUGCUCAACAGGCUGCUCUUUUCCACAGUAUCAAGUCUCUUUUUAUGAACAAGCCACUGAUUAUAGUGUGCAAUAAGACUGACUUGCAGCCAUUGGAUGGAAUCCCUGAGGAUGACAUGAAAUUGGUCAUGGAGAUGAAAUCUGAAGCUAUGAAGACUGUUAUAGGUCAAGGAGGUGAGCUUGCAAGCGAUGAGGGGGUGCUCUUGACCAUGAGCACUUUGACUGAGGACGGGGUCAUUGCAGUCAAGAAUUCAGCUUGUGAGAGGUUACUGAACCAAAGGGUGGAGCUUAAGAUGAAGUCUAAGAAGAUAAAUGACUGCUUGAAUCGUUUUCAUAUUGCAGUGCCUAAGCCACGUGAUCAAAAGGAAAGGCCACCCUGCAUACCCCAGGCAGUUUUGGAAGCUAAAGCUAAGCAAGCUGCAGAGAAGGAGAAAAGGAGGCUUGAAAGGGACUUGGAGAAUGAUAAUGGCGGUGCUGGUGUGUACUCUGCUAGUUUGAAGAAGCAUUAUAUCUUAGCUGAUAAUGAAUGGAAAGAGGACAUAAUGCCUGAAAUACUUGAUGGACAUAACGUGUAUGACUUUGUUGAUCCUGAUGUAUUGCUAAGGCUUGAAGAAUUGGAACGUGAAGAUGGACUUAGACAAGAGGAGGAGGCAUAUGAUGAUUUUGAGAUGGAUGGUCAAGAAUUAACCCCAGAAGAGAAGGAAGCAUUGGCUGAGAUUAGGAAAAAGAAAAGCUUGCUCAUUCAGCAACACAGGAUUAAGAAAAGCACCGCUGAGAGUCGGCCAAUUGUACCAAGAAAAUUUAACAAGGAUGGGGAGCUCUCAACGGAAAGAAUGGGGAGGCAACUAUCAGCUUUGGGGCUGGAUCCUACCUUGGCAAUUAAUCGAGCCCGCAGCAGGUCUGUCUCUAGUAGGGGCCGUAAGAGGGAGAGGUCUCUUAACCAUGAAAAUGGUCAUGCUAUGGACGUGGAUAUUGAUCAGCCAAACAAAAAGUUGCGUGUGAGGUCUAGAUCAGUGUCCAGGUCGAGAUCACGACCACCCAAUGAAGUUGCCCCUGGGGAGGGCUUUAAGGACUCUGCUCAAAAAUCAAAAGCUCUGAAAAUUGCCAAGAAAUCUGUUAAGAAGAGAAACAAGAAUGCACGUCGCGGGGAGGCAGAUAGGGUUAUUCCAAAUCUGAAACCAAAGCACUUGUUUUCUGGGAAGCGUUCCAUUGGAAAAACCAGUAGAAGAUGAUAUGUUCAAGGUAUCUGACUGCUUUACCAUUUCAUCAUUCUUUAUCUUUUCUUGAACUUCUUUCUCUGACCUUUUUGGUUAAGCGCAUUUGAAGAGAAUUUUUAUGUUGCUUAAAUAUAUGCUAACAUAUACAUUUACUUAUUUGUCCGUGGAUGUAUUUUUUUUUCCUUAUUCUGUAUUUUGGUGAGCUGGGGUAGGUUUAUAUUGGGGUGGGAUUAGUACACUCUGAUUAUUUGUACAAAGGCCAUUUUACCUUUGAAUUGUCUUUCCAUGUUGUUCUUGGGAUUGAUUGUUUUCUUUCUAUUGCUUUCUAUGUGCAUAUCACUUUUUUUAGGCAUAAAAAAAACAGCUAGUCUUAAAUUGAGUUGAAUGUAGAAAAACCUUUCAUGUUGUCACCUCUAAUGCUGACUUAGGUGAUAAAGUGUUGGCUGGGGUAAUGGAUAUUAGUCUUCGAAUCUUACCCAAAGGAAAUAUUCAAAGAACAAUUUAUCAUGAGCGAGGUGCAUGCAUGUGCAUCUUACGAAUAGAUGUGAUCGUCCAAUUUUCAUUUCUUUGUUUUUAGUAAAUAUCAUUUUCUGAUCUGGAUAUUUUUAGGGCUUGUCUGCUUGCUUUGAUUGGUUUUGACUUUUCAUAAACACACACAUACUACUAGUGGGGGGUCAUGUGUUGCAUAUGAGGUUAUAUAUUGCACUAAAAAUGGGAAAAAAAAAUAUUUGCGAUGGUUUACCAAUUUAACAUUUAAGUCCUAGAAUUUUUUCCUUCUAUAUGGGAACUCAACCUGUUCAUGUCCCUAUUUAUUUUGAGAAAGAGUAUAAUUCAGUAAAUCAUAAAUGUACAAUUGUUGGUCAUUCCAUCUGUUAAAAGGGACUGUAAAAAUUAUACAACUGAUGAAGUGGGCCAUAGAAUCCAGGCUCCAAAAUAAUUUCAUCAUUCUUCAUAUUACGAUAUAUUUAAUUUAUUUUUCUACCAUUAUAACAACUGGAGACAUUUUUUUAUUGCUUAGAAAAAGUUUUAUCUCAAAGCUUAAAAUAUUAUGGAAAUAUGGUUUAAAAAAUCAAUCUGAUUAAACUUUUACACUGCGGAUAAUGCGCUGUUCAAAAUUGUUGUGUGUGGGAUUUUAAGUACUACCUUUUAGAAAUAGGAAUCAGAACUAUGACUUGUGGUUUAUAUGUGUUGAUAUGAUUUAUUUGUAUGAGAGUGAAUUUAUUAAACAGAAGGGAGCAGAGCUCUAAACGAGGUAACAUCAUAACACGGCAGAGAAUCAGAACAAUCAAGGACAAUGAUGCUUAAAACAAAUAAAAGAGAAAAGAACAGCUCAGAGCAGCAAGUUUCAGUGAAGCAACCAUCCAUCAAAUACCACCAUCGCCCACAUCCUAUGGACAUCAAUUUUGGCCUUCAGGAGAAAGUAUAUUGAGCUGUGGAAUGCAACACCCUCAUUAUGUUGUGAAGUGAGUUUUGUUUUUUGGAAAUAUAGUCUUCUUCAUAGCAUAGGCUUGGUGGAACCUUCUUGGCUUGGCUUUUUUUCUGUUUUAUUUUAUUACUUUGGUGGGUUUUCAUAUCAAAGUAGACAUGAAUGUUUCUUAUCAAAUGUUUUGAAUUUUUGUUGUGUUAAUUUUGGUACUAUUCUUUGGCAAAAAUAUUGGAAAAUUUACCA
Malania oleifera is the source of this 3854-nucleotide RNA transcript. It is a transcript of the gene named nucleolar GTP-binding protein 1-like, with no coding region annotated. The transcript has 3 exons. The record is from RefSeq and is a predicted model, not a curated record. NCBI's taxonomy places the organism in Eukaryota, Viridiplantae, Streptophyta, Magnoliopsida, Santalales, Ximeniaceae.